Molecule: ribosomal RNA, 498 nt
Filed under: uncultured bacterium
Lineage: Bacteria
Description: partial 16S ribosomal RNA
Rfam family: Bacterial small subunit ribosomal RNA
Source: RNAcentral
GACGAACGCUGGCGGCGUGCCUAAUACAUGCCAGUCGAACGAGAGCGCCCGGUGCUUGCACUGGUCAAUCUAGUGGCGAACGGGUGAGUAACACGUGGGUAACCUGCCCAUCAGAGGGGGAUAACAUUCGGAAACGGAUGCUAAAACCGCAUAGGUCUUCGAACCGCAUGGUUUGAAGAGGAAAAGAGGCGCAAGCUUCUGCUGAUGGAUGGACCCGCGGUGCAUUAGCUAGUUGGUGAGGUAACGGCUCACCAAGGCCGUGAUGCAUAGCCGACCUGAGAGGGUGAUCGGCCACAUUGGGACUGAGACACGGCCCAAACUCCUACGGGAGGCAGCAGUAGGGAAUCUUCCGCAAUGGACGCAAGUCUGACGGAGCAACGCCGCGUGAGUGAAGAAGGUUUUCGGAUCGUAAAACUCUGUUGUUAGAGAAGAACAAGUGCUAGAGUAACUGUUAGCGCCUUGACGGUAUCUAACCAGAAAGCCACGGCUAACUACGUG